ACAUAUAUGUAUAUAGACACGCAUAUAUUCAAAUAUAUAUAUGUUAAUAUAUACAAAACACAUUCAUAUACGUUUAUGCAUACAUAAGGUAUGUUUACUGUUUAUAUAUCGGGGAGAAAAACAAACGUGUUUCAAUGAAACUAUACAGCUAUACAUUAUUCACUCAUCACACAACAACAUAUACACUCACUCAACAUACAUCCACAUAUACACUCACUUUUUCUGUUGAAUAAAUAUGGAAUUAAGUCUUAAACAACAUCAUCAUUGUUCUUUGAACAUUGUGGUAGGAGAGCGACUGAAUGAAGGGGAGAUAACCAGGAAAUGAAUGUACACAUGGCUGAAUUAGUAGAACACUGGACACUUAUUCCUUGAGGUUGGUGGUUCGUUUCCACUCCCAGCUAUUAUCAUGUUUUAAAAUUAAGUUGUUGUUGGUUGUAGCCCCAAAUUAAAGCAUAUUGAGCGCAUACAUUUAUGAGGCACUGAUAGUCAGCCGAGCGUAUAUAUAUGAGCCACUGGUCUAUUGCUUUAGAUACACCGUGUCUCUGCCUAACUAAAUGCCAUACCUCAACAAUCCAACGUGAUAUGAAUAAUCGUAAACGAUUCGUUUGCUAAUACCUCGGCAAACUUCACUGAUGAAGUUCAACAAUACUAAAAUAUGCUCGGAGUUGCCUCCCGUACAUUUCUGAAACUGUAAAAAAAAAAAAAAACACCAGUCCUUAACUAAUAUUAUUUUCUUUCACCACGUGUUUGAUCUUUUUUUAAGUUGUCAAUAUUCCAUCCAUAAAAUAAUCUUUCACUCACUUGUGUGUACUUGAAUAUGGGCCACCUUUUAGGACCGUUAAGUUAAUCUUUCCUACUGGUAGCCUGGUAAAUAAUGUCAUGUCACGUAAGAAGGUAGCAACGUCAUAUCUCGUGAGAAGGUAGCAUCUAACGGACAUUUUGCAAUUUGGAAGGCAAUCGUUGAUGAUGUGGUGCUAAUAUCUUCCGUACUGAUGCGGCACAUUCGUCGUUUUCUUUUUAAUAAUUUCUAACUCGGGUGUUGUUUGUGUGCAACCUCAUGUUAGCUCUUAUUGAGAACGUCUAUAACACGCAACUUGUCAGCAGGGCAUGUAUAUGCGAACCAUAGAUUUGUUGCUUCAAAUGCUCCAUAUCUCUUCCUAGAUAAAAACCCACAUCGCAACAUUCGGACAUGGUGAAGUAUUACAAUUUGAGUACAUCCUACUCUCUUCACUGCACUUAACUGUCCACUCAAUGUAGAGUCUGAAGGAAUGGACAGGUCUGAUGCUUCAGGUGGUGACCACUGCAAUGGUAGGUAAGGCUGUCUUAGACUGAGACUAUUCUGCUCCCCUGGCAGAAUUGUAUGGUUCAGUGCUGUACACAACGGUAACUUCGUAAACUUGGCAAGUUACCAUUAUCUUGCAGCACUACUGAAUUUUCAAUCCUUCCUCUUAAUCUUGGUGGUCUCAGUGCCUUGGAACUGGCUGGCCUCGUACCUCCACCACUCAGGCAUCUCUGAACUAUUCGUCUCUCCUCUUCUCGUCACCUUUAUUUCAUUCAACCCCAUCUUUUGACCUUGCACUAAACGCUAUAUCCAGUCCUUUCUCCCCGGAACAUCGGCGCCUUUGGAAUCUACUCCCUAUUCUGCUUUUCCUGUACGUGUUGACCUGUAUCAGUUUAAACAUCGGUGCCGGAGAACCUUCAAGAGUCAUGGGCAUGGCCCAUUCUUCCAAAGUCAGCACUUAAAAAAGAAAGGGAAAUGGUGAUGAGAAACCACUGUAGUUGUGUAAUACAUUUUAGUUCCUACACGAACAGUAGCGUAUCUUCCCUUAUGUAUCAACGACCCAAACUGAGUCACAGAAUGGACUAUCAACAUAUUAUGAUGUAAGGGUGAAUAAAAUGGCGGAAACGAUAGAGCAUUGAAGUAAA
Octopus sinensis (East Asian common octopus) is the source of this 1926-nucleotide long non-coding RNA. RefSeq lists it as uncharacterized. The transcript is spliced from 2 exons. The record is from RefSeq and is a predicted model, not a curated record. NCBI's taxonomy places the organism in Eukaryota, Metazoa, Mollusca, Cephalopoda, Octopoda, Octopodidae.